GACGAACGCUGGCGGCGUGCCUAACACAUGCAAGUCGAACGGGGCUCUUUGGAUCGAGACUUCGGUCAAGUGAAUCUGAGCUUAGUGGCGGACGGGUGAGUAACGUGUAAAGAACUUGCCCUCUAGACUGGGAUAACAGAUAGAAAUGUCUGAUAAUACCGGAUAUUAUUGUUACAUGGCAUCAUGUAGGAAUGAAAGGAUAAGAUUGCUAGAGGAGAGCUUUGCAUCCUAUUAGCUAGUUGGUGAGGUAACGGCCCACCAAGGCGACGAUCAGUAGCCGGACUGAGAGGUUGACCGGCCACAUUGGGACUGAGAUACGGCCCAG
RNAcentral lists this ribosomal RNA (325 nucleotides) under uncultured bacterium. Its description in RNAcentral is "bacterial SSU rRNA". It matches the Rfam family "Bacterial small subunit ribosomal RNA", at positions 28 to 334 of the family's 1533-position model. The record is from RNAcentral.